Triticum aestivum (bread wheat) is the source of this 559-nucleotide long non-coding RNA. RefSeq lists it as uncharacterized. The transcript has 3 exons. The record is from RefSeq and is a predicted model, not a curated record. NCBI's taxonomy places the organism in Eukaryota, Viridiplantae, Streptophyta, Magnoliopsida, Poales, Poaceae.
UCUAAGUAACCUAGCACACUGAGAACUCAAAUAGCUACUUUGAGUACGAUUUUGAACGAUUUGAAGGCCGAUUCAAAAGAUGUUUUAGUUGAACAAAAGAUAGACCAAGGAUUUGCCGUGCGAAGUGAACUACGAAGGUGAAGAUCGAGGUUACUUAGAGCAGAGAGGAGAGGAGUGGGCGCGCAAAGAAAUGAGCUGGGCUGCCUCAUAUAAUAACGAGCAGAUUCCAGAGCAUACACAGGCAGUGUCGGCAUGCAUAAAAUGCGAGAGCUCACCAACCGAUAGCCAGCAGAGCUGUCUCAUCGCAAGCCGCCGCCUCACACAGUGGCGGCAUGGCCCACGGGACCGUCUCCGUUCCGUCGCGGUGUGGAAUUCUGUAAUCUGCAGCGUGCCGCCUCACACCAUGGCGGCAGGGGCUGCCGCCUUGCGCCGUGACGGCAGGUGCCACGUGUCAGCUGGCGCGCCUACCGCCACGGUCAAGGGGGUCUUUUCUGACUAUUUGAUUUAAAGGUGGUUUUUUUUGUCAAUUCGUCUUGACAGGUGGUCUUUUUGGACAAAA